Molecule: long non-coding RNA, 1817 nt
Filed under: Homo sapiens (human)
Lineage: Eukaryota; Metazoa; Chordata; Mammalia; Primates; Hominidae
Description: HSALNT0105755
Source: RNAcentral
CAUGAGUGAAGGGUCAGCAUGCGGCCCUGGAGUUGCCGCAAGUUGGGAUACUGCCCUGCCCAGCUUUGGGGGCCACCACGAGGGAGUUAGAGGAGGUCCUUCCCACUGCCCACGCCUGCCCCGGCGCAGACACCUGAUGGCAACUAGCAUGCUGUAAACACAUUUUGAUCAGUCAAGAGGAAAGGAAAUGAGCCAGUGGCCCAAAAGUUAGAGACACCAUGACACGGAUUCCCACAAAAUCUUCACACUGGAUUACUCCGUUUUUGCCAACCUUUGUCUAAUGGGCUCUUUUUUCUUUUUUAAUUAAUUUUUGUAUUUGGCAGUUGGGUUAAAAGUCAACAGGAGUUGACUGGUGGUGGUGGUGGUGGUGGUUCGAUUCUGUGAGGUUGUGGAAAGCAGGUCCACAGAUAACGUCCACCAUCUGUGUGGCAUCUGCGUGGGUUGUCUCUGGGUAUUCUGGUUUUCUCCCGCGUCCCAAAGCUGUGCACUUGAGGUUCAUUGGUGUGUCUGCAGGGUCCCAGUCUGAGUGCAUGUGAAUGUGUGUGAGCGUGCCCUGCAAUGGCAUGGUGUCCUGUCCUGAGCUGGUUCCUGAUGCAUAGUUCUCCUGGCCCUGCAAUGGUUGAGCACAGACCCUGCUAAGCAGCCGUGCUGGGGAGUGGACUUCAACCUCAUGUGGCUCCAGCCAGCCUGGAACAAACGCCCCCAAUGUGUAGAAGCCAGCCACCUGGCCGACAGUCACCCUCUAGGAGCUAAGAAGAGUUUGCAUACCUGACAGCAGGUCAGCCUGGAAGCACCAUGAACUCUGUGCCAACACCGUGCCAGCACUGUGCAGACAGGGCACAGCACCGAGCUCAGCGCCCCGCAAGCAAGGUCCUGUUAAUUUCCAGGCCAGCUCUUCCCCCACCGGCCCCGCAAGCCUUCAGGGUGCCUCCCGCUCCGUGGCCCACCCCGCUGCCUGCCUCCUUCUACUGAUCUGUCAGCUCCGAUCUGACUCAAGGACCAAGGCUUAGUCGUCCUUCUACCUGCUCGGGUUCUUGCACAAGAAUAAACAAAUCGAUAAAAACCCUGGAUUGAGAGAUAAAGUUAAAAAAGACCUCAGAGUGGCCUGGUGCUGCGGCUUGCUCUUCACAGCCGGCCUCUCACUGGAGGAGGGAUCAGGGCGGGUCUCUGCUCCGCACUGCGCUGGUAAGAGCCUGGGAAGAGAUGCUGUCUGUGGUGAGCACGUGAUAGACAUUCCACGACCCGACCUGUCGGUGCCCUGGUUCUCAUUGUUUCUUCUCAUUUCCAGCUGCAUUUAUCUCUUGUCUAACUUGGGCAGUGUUAAGGGCACAACUGUGUUUAGCCCAUUAGCCAAUUUGUUUUCAGAUAAUAAUGCAAAUGGCUGUUACUCCCAACACACCUAACAAGACUGACAGCCAAUCUCAACUGCUUCUGUGUUUUCCUAUGGAUAUUUCUUCUAAAGAACUCCUAACUAUCUCUCUCCCUGAUGCCACAGAGCUCACGGCAGGCCCUGCCAUCAAGUUAGGGGACCCUGGAAGCCCCUGGAAGCCCUAGGCCGUAACUGCCUGACUGAGCUCCCUGUGGCUCUGCAAGGAACUGGGGCCAUCUCAGAGCUGCGUCCCAGUCUGUGGCCCCAGAAUCCCAACUAAAUGAAGUGCAGUCUCCCUGAGCAUCUCCACCAAGCCACGCAGGUGCUGCCAGAUUCAAAGGCAAUACACAGGCAGGAGUGAGUUACCUGUAUUAAAUCACAAACUGUGUGGCGAAGAUUCUAAGUGGAAAAGAGUGUUUUUACAAAUGGAUAGGCGGGUGAAGACACA